RNAcentral lists this ribosomal RNA (501 nucleotides) under uncultured bacterium. RNAcentral describes it as "partial 16S ribosomal RNA". It matches the Rfam family "Bacterial small subunit ribosomal RNA", at positions 30 to 523 of the family's 1533-position model. The record is from RNAcentral.
AUUGAACGCUGGCGGCAGGCUUAACGCAUGCAAGUCGAGCGGAGAUGAGGUGCUUGCACCUUAUCUUAGCGGCGGACGGGUGAGUAAUGCUUAGGAAUCUGCCUAUUAGUGGGGGACAACAUUCCGAAAGUAAUGCUAAUACCGCAUACGUCCUACGGGAGAAAGCAGGGGAUCUUCGGACCUUGCGCUAAUAGAUGAGCCUAAGUCGGAUUAGCUAGUUGGUGGGGUAAAGGCCUACCAAGGCGACGAUCUGUAGCGGGUCUGAGAGGAUGAUCCGCCACACUGGGACUGAGACACGGCCCAGACUCCUACGGGAGGCAGCAGUGGGGAAUAUUGGACAAUGGGGGGAACCCUGAUCCAGCCAUGCCGCGUGUGUGAAGAAGGCCUUAUGGUUGUAAAGCACUUUAAGCGAGGAGGAGGCUACUGAGACUAAUACUCUUGGAUAGUGGACGUUACUCGCAGAAUAAGCACCGGCUAACUCUGUGCCAGCCGCCGCAGUAA